RNAcentral lists this non-coding RNA (791 nucleotides) under Corynis sp. Lineage: Eukaryota; Metazoa; Arthropoda; Insecta; Hymenoptera; Cimbicidae. The record is from RNAcentral.
AAAAAGUUUGAUUUUGGCUUUAUAAUUUAUUUUAUAAUUAUUUUGCAUGUAAAUUUUUGUGUGUAUUUUUUUUAUUUUAAAUAAAUAAUUAAUUUAAUAUAUUUGCAGCAUUUAAUUUUAAUAAUUAAGGAAAUUUAGAAUUAUUAAUUAUAUUAAUAUAGACAAAAUUUGUGCCAGCAGUUGCGGUUAAACAGGUUAUGUAAAUAAAUUUUAUUAAUUUAUAAUAUGUAUGAAAAAAUAUUAAUAAUUAAUUAUAGAGUAAUUAGGUGAAAUUUUUAUUUUAUUUAUGUUAUUUAUUUGUGUAUAUUAUUUUAUGAAUUCUAUAUUUAAAACUAGGAUUAGAUACCCUAUUAUUAUAGAUUUAAAUUUAAAAUUUUAAGGAUUAAUAGUUAUGGUCUUAAAACUUAAAAAAAUUGGCGGUAUUUAAAACUAAUUAGGGGAAUUUGUUUUUUAAUCGAUAUGCCGCGUGAGAUCUUACUUUAUUUAAUUAAUUAGUUUAUUUCCGUUAUCAAAUAAUUUUUAUAGAAUUUAAAUUAUUUAAACAUUUUAUAGGAUAUUAUUUCAGGUCAAGAUGCAGUUUAUAGUAAAGUAAAAAUGAAUUACAAUAAAUUUAUAUUUAUAUGGAUAUUAAAUUGAAAUAUUUAAUUGAAAGUGGACUUAAUAGUAAAGUAAAAAAUUAUAUUUAUUUGAAUUUAGAAUUAAAUAUGUACAAAUCGCCCGUCGCUUUCAUUUUUAAAGUGAAAUAAGUCGUAACAAAGUAGGUGUAUUGGAAAAUGUACCUAGAAAGUUUU